ACUGUGAAAGAUUUAUUGGUUACAAGAACUGUGCUUCCUUUAGACAUGAAGUAGUUCCCACGGUCAGGGUCUGGUAUCAAAUACCUCAGAUUUCUCCUUGCUUGAGGAAUAUGCAUGCAGUCUUCUCCCUCCAAGCUGAAUGCCACCAAACUCAGUACUCCAGAGAGAACCUCAAGGUCAAAGCUUGAAUCACAGAAAUCCAGACAGAAAUACUGACUCAUUGUAUUCAUGCAAUCCAAGGACAGCACCUUCUGCUGCUGCUUGAGCAUCUCCACAAGGGUCCACUUCAACACAGGGGAUUUCCAGGUCUUGGAUCUGUCUACAACCAACUGAAAAAUACAGUACAGAAUGAGUAGGCCAUAUUGCACAGAGAAGCAAAACAGAGCUGCUGCAGCCUGCCAAGGAAUCCAGUUCAACAGUCCAGCAAUCUUGCCAUUACCCGAGUAAGUAGUCCCACAGCUCUUAUUCAGUAACAGUUUAAAUGAUAGUUGUUGAGGAAGCCUUAGGGGCAUUACAUAUUCCACUGGCAGUAAGGAAAAUGUCUGGGAGUAUGUACACACAACUACUACUGAAAAGCAUUGCCAAAGUUAUCUUUCAGCACAGUGCACCUCUUAAUCUGCUUCCUUUUCACUUCCUAGAGAGUUACAUUUAGUGGAGGCUAAGUUAUAUGUCACAAUAUAAUUAUUUUUGUACAACAACUACUUCUGAAUUAUAUGUACAUAGAACGUUUACAAAUAACAGAUAUUUCAUUUUCUGUUUGCACAGUUAUCUGUCAGUUCAAGGUCUUGCAUUUCAGAGCCACUCUGAAUUUUCUGGGAGGGGAAGGUGGUGGUACCACAGAAGCACUGUGCUGUUAGCACCAAAGGCACCAUCACAGAAGGGGUUAACCUGCUGCUUCCCCAUGAACAGGGUAUGGCACCAUCCUCCUGCAGUUGUGACUUACUGUAGAGUUGGAUGAAAACACCACUGACAUUUGAACGCUGAAGUAUAUGGUAUAAAUUAGGAAUCAUUUUUUUUUCUGCCUUAUCUUUAUGCUAAAAUUAUAGGAAGUGCUUCAGACUUACCAAAACUUUGAAACUCUUAUUUAUUUAUUAUUUAUUUAUUGUGCUCCUAAAGAAAAACGGAGUGGCUAACACUGCAUUGAAGAAAAGAGAUUAUAAAUACCUGUUGCAACAGCAGGUGCAGAAAGUUCUCCACUCAUAAUCCUGCUGACCUUGUAGGACCAAAACCAGAGAUGGUAUACAGAGAAACUGCUUAGUACAACUAUAGAUUGACUUUGGAUUAUGACAUUUCCUUUGAAACUGUGAUACUGCCUUUCCAAAUGCCUGCUGGUCAUGCUGAGUAUGUGCUGAAGAUGAAUUGAAUCGUUUUAAUUUCUUACCUCACACAGAGCAUGCACAUAAACUGCUGCAGCAUUCAGUGGCUUGAGUCUGCUGUGUACAAUAGUAAAACGUAUUUUAUAAAAAUAUCAACUGAAAGUAGAAUUUCCCUCAUAAGACAGCUUUUUUCAUUGGUCUUUAGAUGUAAACAGAGUAAAAAGAGCGAGGAAAAUAAGUAUCUGGGUCAGAGAUUUUAAACUCAUUGACUUAAGCUGAGUUAUCCUCAUUUAAAUACCUACAUAAGCAGCUUAGUCAGCAAAAAUGUUAAAUAUCAGCUUAUUCUGGUAACUUGCUUUACUGAGGGUUCUGCACAAUUCAGUGAUAAAACUAGUUAUUUGGGAACAUAAAACACAGUGUUAGGCACUACUGAAAAUGACCCUUA
Non-coding RNA from Phasianus colchicus (ring-necked pheasant), 1761 nucleotides. The record is from RefSeq and is a predicted model, not a curated record. Lineage: Eukaryota; Metazoa; Chordata; Aves; Galliformes; Phasianidae.